RNAcentral lists this ribosomal RNA (253 nucleotides) under uncultured bacterium. RNAcentral's name for it is "partial 16S ribosomal RNA". It matches the Rfam family "Bacterial small subunit ribosomal RNA", at positions 524 to 776 of the family's 1533-position model. The record is from RNAcentral.
UACCGAGGUCUCAAGCGUUGUUCGGAUUCAUUGGGCGUAAAGGGUGCGUAGGCGGCGUGGUAAGUCGGAUGUGAAAUCUCGGAGCUUAACUCCGAAACUGCAUUCGAUACUGCCGUGCUUGAGGACUGGAGAGGAGACUGGAAUUUACGGUGUAGCGGUGAAAUGCGUAGAUAUCGUAAGGAAGACCAGUGGCGAAGGCGGGUCUCUGGACAGUUCCUGACGCUGAGGCACGAAGGCCAGGGGAGCAAACGGG